GCGUGCCGCUGCAGCCCCUCGCCCUCCGGCCCCCCCAGCCGCAGGGGACGAGCUCCACGUGCAGGUGAGGGGCGCCGGGGGGGGGGAAGCGGCGUGGGCUGAGACCGGCCAACUCGCCGCACGUGUGGGGAGGCCCCGUCCGGCUCACGGGGCUCUCGCGUCUCUCGGCAGCGCCCGGCCCGCGGAGGGGGGUCCCGCCGGCGCCGCCAAGGCGGGUGAGUGCACCCCAGAGGGGCCCAGGCGUCCAGGCGACCCCCCACCCCCGCCGUGGGGAGGGGUCCCGGCUGGUUCCCCCCCCCUCCCCCAUAACGGCUCCCUCUCCCCGCAGACGGCGACUCCGUGCCGGAGCUGGCGGCCGCCCUGGCGGGGCUGGGGCUGGGCCAGGCUGCCGUGGGGCCCGCCGGUGCCCUCGGCCUGGCCCGCCGCGUCCCGCUGAGGGGCACCCCGGGGUGCCCCCCCUCCGCGGUGAGUCGCCCGGGGGGCGCGGGACCGGGCAGGGGGCUCCCCCGGCCCCGGCGCCCCGCUGACGUCUCCCCCUCCCCAGGAGCGCCGGGCCUCGGUGCUGGGGGGCCCCACGGGCACCCCCCUGCUGGAGAGCAGCCCCACGGCGCGGCGCCCCACGGGCGCCGAGACCCCGGCGGCAGCCGGCACCGCGGACGCCCGCUUCCGCUCGCCCUUCGGCUCUGCCCGCCGCGUGCCCGUCACCCGGGUGGAGGUGGGUAUCGGGGGGGUCCCACCGGCCCCUCUCGUCCCCGCAGCGCCUGCAGCUCCGCAGCCAGCGGCCGCCCCUCUUCCGCACGCCCUGYGCCCGGCGCCCGCCGGCGGGUGCCCAGCAGACCCCCGGGGCGCGCUGGGGGCUGGCCCUGUCCCCCCAGGCCAGCCCCGACACCAAGCCCUGCGCCGCCGAGCGCGCCGGCCCGGCCCAGGACACGACCGUGGUGCGGCUCUUCGUGGGGGACGAGGGACGGCGGG
RNAcentral lists this long non-coding RNA (972 nucleotides) under Apteryx rowi (Okarito brown kiwi). RNAcentral describes it as "lncRNA (ENSARWG00000015187.1)". Lineage: Eukaryota; Metazoa; Chordata; Aves; Apterygiformes; Apterygidae. The record is from RNAcentral.